UUGUUCAGAGCACCUCAAAGACUGAAGACCUUGAAAACUGCAGUACCACAGCAUUUCUGCUACUACAAGGCCAUAUCCCUCAGAAACACUAAACAGGGCUGGUUUUAUCAAACAGCUUGGAGCGAGGAGACAUGCAGUGUCUGAGCCUGAGGAACACGUUCCUGCUGGAAGGGGCCUGUUUCUCGGAGAGAGUGGAUGUCAGCCUGGAUUUGGACUUUCACCUAAUCUUCUCUGAAAGUACCUGGAGAUAUUAAAUGGCCACCUACUCAGCUGCUGGACUUCAGCUUAAAAGCCAGUCCAAAAGCCUCCUAUGAAAGCAAUCUGAAGGCACGGUGGUGCUGUAGGUCAUGGCCUCAGGCUCUGCGUAAAAUAUUUGACCUGAUGUAUAUAUUUAUAUAUAUAUAGUGUAAA
Lagopus leucura (white-tailed ptarmigan) is the source of this 411-nucleotide long non-coding RNA. RefSeq lists it as uncharacterized. Lineage: Eukaryota; Metazoa; Chordata; Aves; Galliformes; Phasianidae. The record is from RefSeq and is a predicted model, not a curated record. The transcript is spliced from 3 exons.